AGAGGUGGCAAGCGUUAUCCGGAUUUACUGGGUGUAAAGGGCUGGUAGGCGGUGAUGCAAGUCCCGCGUGAAAUGCUGAGGCUCAACCUCAGCGCUGCGCUGGAAACUGCGUCACUCGAGUGUGGGAGAGGAAGGCGGAAUUUCCAGUGUAGCGGUGAAAUGCGUAGAUACUGGAAGGAACACCAGCGGCGAAGGCGGCCUUCUGGACCAACACUGACGCUGAGCAGCGAAAGCUAGGGGAGCAAACGGGAUUAGAUACCCCGGUAGUCCUAGCCGUAAACGAUGGGCACUAGGCGUGGGAGGCAUCGACCCCUUCCGUGCCGCAGCUAACGCGUUAAGUGCCCCACCUGGGGACUACGGCCGCAAGGUUG
This 371-nucleotide ribosomal RNA is filed under the name uncultured bacterium. Its description in RNAcentral is "bacterial SSU rRNA". It matches the Rfam family "Bacterial small subunit ribosomal RNA", at positions 527 to 896 of the family's 1533-position model. The record is from RNAcentral.